Small nuclear RNA from Heterocephalus glaber (naked mole-rat), 127 nucleotides. Its record names the gene U2. It matches the Rfam family "U2 spliceosomal RNA". Rfam says of the family: U2 is a small nuclear RNA (snRNA) component of the spliceosome (involved in pre-mRNA splicing). The record is from Ensembl. Lineage: Eukaryota; Metazoa; Chordata; Mammalia; Rodentia; Bathyergidae.
AUCGCUUCUUGGCCUUUUGGCUAAGAUCAAGUGUAGUAUCUAAUUGCAGUUAUAUGGGUCUUGUCUUUCCUUUUGCUAAGUUUGCCUAAGGGUUUACUUGUUGUAUUUAUUCUUUCAAAGAACCAAC